RNAcentral lists this long non-coding RNA (1161 nucleotides) under Homo sapiens (human). RNAcentral describes it as "HSALNT0290622". Lineage: Eukaryota; Metazoa; Chordata; Mammalia; Primates; Hominidae. The record is from RNAcentral.
UUUACAUGCCUGUCUCUCCCACUAGAUGGUGCAACCACACAGAGACGUCAUCUGAUUUACCUAGCGUGGUGCUUGGCACAUAGUAGGUGCUCAAAAAAUUACUUGAAUGAAUGAAUGAAUAAAUGUGCUUCAUCUUAGUUGACAAAGCAACGGGAGAGGCUGGAGAUGGACUUGGGCCACUUAGACUUCCUUCAUCCCCAGAAUCAAAGGGACCAGAAACUUAGAAGAUGUCACAAUUUUAUCUGCUACUGACCCUGCAGGCAGGGCUGCCUGGUGGUGAAACAAUAUGGUAUGUAACAGAGUCGAGACAGGUUUGUGUAGGAUGGAUGCAGGCUCCAACCCUGUGCUGCACUGCCUGGCUGCCCGAUCUCCCUCAACGAGCCUCAGUUUUUCACCUGUAAAGUGGGGAUAAUGCGUCCACAUCUCAGGAUCAUUGUGAAGAGUGAGGACAUCACAUAUAAAAAAACUGGCCCACAGAAAGCAUGGAGUAAAUGCCAGCUGUUACAGCAGCUUCUGUAGGAAGGCAGAGCCUGCCUUGCAGCCACUCCACUGGCAAACGUGUCAAUAGGAAGAGUGAGAAGUGAGCAGUGCCUCCUGAGCUGAUGCCUACAGAGGAGCUGUGACAAUCUGCCUCUAGAACAACCUCAGCAAGCUGCCUGGCCCAGGGGAAAUCCAACCGUGGUGACUUUGCCCAGAUUCUGCAAGAUGCUUUCUAAUUGUUGGUGUUCACGAGGGACAAGCAACAGCUGAGCUCAUUCCCUUCCUAUCAAUUUGCAACAUCUGCCCCAGCCCUUACUGACAGUAGAGAAAAAUAAGGACUUUCCGAUCACACCUUUAGGCCACCAAUCUUCAAUGAGUUACUGGGCCCUUCCAGAAAUCAGAUUUUCUAACUGGUCCCUGCAUUGGCUCCAGCAGCUUUGGAGUGGAAAUCCAAAAGCAUGGGAAGACCCUGGGCCGAGGGAGCAGAGGCUGAAACUCUGGGAAAAGCUGUGAGGACCACAAAAGUGGUUGGGCCCCUAAUGGCCUCAAGACCCGGGGUACAACAAACCCCACAGGAGGCCCAAUGACACCCCCUGUCCUAACUCAGCUCAGGAAGAGGCAGCUGCCAUGGUUUAAAGAAUGUGGGUUUUUAGGGUAGAUAGACCCCACAUCUGCUCCAUA